AGCGAACGCUGGCGGCAGGCCUAACACAUGCAAGUCGAACGAACCCUUCGGGGUUAGUGGCGGACGGGUGAGUAACACGUGGGAACGUACCUUUAGGUUCGGAACAACACAGGGAAACUUGUGCUAAUGCCGAAUGUGCCCUUCGGGGGAAAGAUUAUCGCCUUUAGAGCGGCCCGCGUCUGAUUAGCUUGUUGGUGAGGUAAAGGCUCACCAAGGCUUCGAUCAGUAGCUGGUCUGAGAGGAUGAUCAGCCAUACUGGGACUGAGACACGGCCCAGACUCCUACGGGAGGCAGCAGUGGGGAAUCUUGCGCAAUGGGCGAAAGCCUGACGCAGCCAUGCCGCGUGAAUGAUGAAGGUCUAGGAUUGUAAAUUCUUUCACCGGGAAGAUAAUGACGUACCCGGAGAAGAAGCCCCGGCUAACUCGUGCCAGCAGCCG
RNAcentral lists this ribosomal RNA (437 nucleotides) under uncultured bacterium. RNAcentral's name for it is "bacterial SSU rRNA". It matches the Rfam family "Bacterial small subunit ribosomal RNA", at positions 29 to 517 of the family's 1533-position model. The record is from RNAcentral.